RNAcentral lists this ribosomal RNA (332 nucleotides) under uncultured bacterium. RNAcentral's name for it is "bacterial SSU rRNA". It matches the Rfam family "Bacterial small subunit ribosomal RNA", at positions 568 to 898 of the family's 1533-position model. The record is from RNAcentral.
CGCGCAGGCGGCCUCGUAAGUGAAAUGUGAAAGCCCCUGGCUCAACCAGGGAAAUGCGUUUCAUACUGCGGGGCUUGAGUGCAGAAGAGGAUGGGGGAACUCCCGGUGUAGCGGUGAAAUGCAUUGAUAUCGGGAGGAACACCAGUGGCGAAGGCGCCCAUCUGGUCUGCUACUGACGCUCAGGCGCGAAAGCUGGGGGAGCAAACAGGAUUAGAUACCCUGGUAGUCCCAGCUGUAAACGGUGGGCACUAGGUGUAGGGGGCAUCGACCCCUCCCGUGCCGCAGCUAACGCAUUAAGUGCCCCGCCUGGGGAGUACGACCGCAAGGUUGAA